Molecule: non-coding RNA, 966 nt
Organism: Chlorocebus sabaeus (green monkey)
Lineage: Eukaryota; Metazoa; Chordata; Mammalia; Primates; Cercopithecidae
Source: RefSeq, a predicted model, not a curated record
UUAGGGCUUCGCAGACUAGAGGCGGGUUCUGCGGAGGGUGGGGCGGUCUCUGCUUGCGCAUGCGCAGUGCCAACCAGUGCCUGCGCGUCUUGCUCUUGCAACGUAAAAUUUCCCAGCGCGAAGCAGGGAGUGAGGCUGCGGCGGCUUCGCAUUGUGGUUCCUGCCGACCGCCAGGCGCUGCUACAGUGGAUGCGAACUACCUGUAAGUCAAGAACGUUGCCGCAGUUUGCCUCCGCAGCAUUAUAUCAUGCUGCAGAAACCAGCUCAACUAUGCGAAACUACCACCAGGACUGGCAGACACCAGCAGGGAUUCCAGAGACCACGCUGCAGAGAGCAUACAGAAAGAAAAUUAAGAAAUCAGAUGCAGCAGCAGCUGGAACCCACAGUUCACCUUGGUGCAUUCCUUUAUGAUGAAGACUUAUUGAUUCAUUAUAUGAGAAAGGAAAAAUGAGCAGAAACUACUGUAUGAUGUGCAGCUCACACCAGACAGCACCUUUAGGGUUAUCUUUCCAGUUCAGCAGUGCAACUCUAUGGAGUAGAAUUGAAAGGAGACUUUCCCCAAUUGCAGGAAAUGGUCAUAAAAAAAUACCUGUUCACUGACAGAAUAAAGGUUCUUCUGCUUCCCCGAACCACAAGGUGGAAAACAGAACAUGCUGGCAGCUCUUCAGUUUACAAAUUAUAGUGUGGACACAUGAAGAGAGAUGGCUGUUUCUCAGUCCAAACGCCAUGUCCCGGGAAAAGGCUCCAUCCGGCCCACAUUGGGGCAGAUGUCCACCCCAGGACUUAUCAACUGUCAUCUAUAGUUGGGACAGCCUCUAUUGAAAAUGAUGAUUUUCACUUCAAUUCUGAGGAGUAGGCAGGAAAUGAAAAUUUUUAGAAGGAGGAUAUAAAUAGAAAAUCUAGGCUGGGGCCAGGCACAGUGGCUCAUGCCUGUAAUCCCAGCACUUUGGGAGGCCGAGGCCAGCA